RNAcentral lists this long non-coding RNA (1413 nucleotides) under Homo sapiens (human). RNAcentral's name for it is "HSALNT0304565". The record is from RNAcentral. Lineage: Eukaryota; Metazoa; Chordata; Mammalia; Primates; Hominidae.
CUAUUUGCUUUCUCUGAAUCUGUAUCAGUUCAUGCAGUUCUGCCAAGUGGGGAAGCUUUGCAGGACACUGCCACUGUAGCACUUGAAAUAUUAAGAUGAACAGAACAAGCAAAAGCCAAAAGAAUUACACAAAUGUCCCUCUGUGGGUCCUCUGAAGAUCUCGGCAUUCCCUGUGCUGCAAGGCGGGCUGGUAACCACUAGAGGGGAGGAGACAGCCGGAUUUAUUGAAGGCCUCACCACAGAAACUGAUGGUGGGGAAGCUGUCAGAGGACGAGAUGCCAAGCAAAAGGGUUUAAGUAUAUUAUAAAGGUCCCCAAAAAUGGAAAAAAAAAUAGGCUUCUUAAAGUAUGCAAGAAAUUUGCUUCUAAUAAAUUUGAAAUGACUGGGAAGGUAGUUAGAAUGCUAGAAUGUGGUUACCUGUUAACCCGUAGUCUUAAGCAUUAGCAAGAUGAUCUAUGAAAUCAGAGUUAACCCUUAUGAAAAUAAAUGGCUCUCUCCUUAGGCCUAUAGCUAAUGCACAUACAAGUUAGGAAAAGUAGCUAUAGGGGAAGGAUGAGGGAGGGAAUCAAAGAUGAUUUGGCUGUUCAGGGUAAAGUGGAAACUCAGCGUAUAGCUCAUUUUCUAAAGUAUUCUAACACCUGCCCCCUCUUCCCAUCACUUUAAAUCCCUUCACUCCAUUGCUAAAAGGGGAAUAGAGAAAGAGACAUCACAGAUAGUAAAAUAUUGAUAUAGUAAACAAAGAGAGAGGGGGCAGAGGAGAGAAACUUUAUUUAACCUUCCUGAUCAUUCCAAAGUACAAUAUCCUAAUGCGGGUAACUUAAAUAAAAAAUAGUCAUCCAGGAUUUAUGAGGUAGCAUAUAUACCAUGUGAGCAUUAUUUUUGUUGAUUUUUAAAAUCCAACUUGACCUUUUUAAUCUUUCAUUUAAAAAAAUAAAAUAUACUUAAUAUUAGUAUUGUUAAAGCACUAUAAUGUAGAACUAGAGGUUGUUCUAUGUACUCUCCUGAGUGUAAUUGCACUAAGAUCAUUCAGUUUCCAUUUGGAAAGCCAGUGGCAAUUACUGGAAUACAAUGUAUCAUGCAUUUGCUCACUGGAUAUAAAAUGUAUAUACUAAUUCGCAAUAAAAUGUAACAGCUGUCAGUGCAUUUUCUGCUCUGUUACUUCAAUAAAUUGGAACUCUGACUAGAAAAUGGGAAUAUUGCAUUUUUACACACUCUGUAAUGUGUUUGCUUUUUGCAAAUACAAUUUAUUUUUUUCAUGGCAAAAAUUGUGGUUUGUUAUUACUGCUAGUGGAUAAAUAUUCCUAUAUCAGAAUGAAUUACAUAUGGUAUCUGUAAAGAAGUAGUAAUAUUUUCUGCUUUUUAUUGUAGCCUGUCUCCAGUAAACAAAAUACACUUAACCUACUUCUGUCACAC